RNAcentral lists this ribosomal RNA (253 nucleotides) under uncultured prokaryote. RNAcentral describes it as "partial 16S ribosomal RNA". It matches the Rfam family "Bacterial small subunit ribosomal RNA", at positions 524 to 776 of the family's 1533-position model. The record is from RNAcentral.
UACAGAGGAUGCAAGCGUUAUCCGGAAUGAUUGGGCGUAAAGCGUCCGCAGGUGGUUUUAUAAGUCUGCUGUUAAAGCGUGUGGCUCAACCACAUACAGGCAGUGGAAACUAUGAGACUAGGGUAUGUUAGGGGUAGAGGGAAUUCCCAGUGUAGCGGUGAAAUGCGUAGAGAUUGGGAAGAACACCGGUGGCGAAAGCGCUCUGCUAGGACAAUACUGACACUGAGGGACGAAAGCUAGGGGAGCGAAUGGG